RNAcentral lists this ribosomal RNA (524 nucleotides) under Laena haigouica. Its description in RNAcentral is "partial 16S ribosomal RNA". The stretch from base 392 to 524 matches the Rfam family "Bacterial large subunit ribosomal RNA", at positions 2473 to 2606 of the family's 2925-position model. Lineage: Eukaryota; Metazoa; Arthropoda; Insecta; Coleoptera; Tenebrionidae. The record is from RNAcentral.
AAAACAUGUCCUUUUGAUAAUAAUUUAAGGUCGUGCCUGCCCUAUGAUGAUUUAAAUGUGCCGCGGUAUUUUGACCGUGCAAAGGUAGCAUAAUCAUUAGUUUUUUAAUUGAAAGCUGGAAUGAAUGGUUUUAUGAAAAAUAAGAUGUUUCAUUGUAAUUGAUUUAUAAUUUUAAUUUUAAGUAAAAAAGCUUAAAUGUUUUAAAAAGACGAGAAGACCCUAUAGAGUUUAAUUGUGCUUGGUAUUAAAAUAAUUGGUUUUUAUAAUUUUUAAUUUUAAAUACAAUUUUAUUGGGGUGAUAUAGAAAUUUAAUAAACUUUUUAUUUAUUUGAACAUAAAUUUAUGAUAGUUUGAUCCUUUAUUAAAGAUUGAAAGAAAAAAUUACCUUAGGGAUAACAGCGUAAUAUUUUUGGAGAGUUCUUAUCGAUAAAAGUGAUUGCGACCUCGAUGUUGGAUUAAAAUUUAUUUAUGGUGUAGAAGCUGUAAUAUUAGGUCUGUUCGACCUUUAAAAUUUUACAUGAUCU